Long non-coding RNA from Vulpes vulpes (red fox), 1874 nucleotides. Lineage: Eukaryota; Metazoa; Chordata; Mammalia; Carnivora; Canidae. The record is from Ensembl.
GAGGUGCUUGAGAACCAACAAGGUCAAAACCAAAAUCUCUUUCAGUCUCUUAUCAAUGGACACCUCGUGCCUGAGGAGGCCCACCCUGUUAGACGUUGUGGGCGCCACUUGGUGGCAGCUCCCUGAAUUACAGGCACAGGACCCAAAAGUAUAAUCAGUCCUGACCAAGGCUCUCUGCCAACCUGUCUUGAGAUCAUGACAAUGCCAUACUGAGAUUCCAGUGUACUUUCUAGGAGGGGAUAGAAAAUGCUCUUUCUUGGGUUAUAGGGAUGAACCUUUCCAAAGUGGCUUGCUUCAGCUAACAAACUGAAAUGCUGCAUUCCAGAUAAAAGAGUAGAAAAGAGUGUGUUUUCGGGGGGGCAGGGUGUGAACAGAAGCAUUCAAGGUUAACCCAGCCUAAGUGAUUUCCCACAACGUGAGGGGCUGGAGCAGCCUUUGGAUCUGGUGAAUGAUUAGUACAUUUUCAAGACACCAUAUUAUGCUCUUCAGACCACUUCAGCUACUGUCAAGAACUCAACAGCUGUGUCAACUCUGCCUAAGGAGGGGAAUUUAGAAUGUGCAUCACUUUGGCAAUAAACUUCAGAAGAUGCCUUAACACUAAGGAAGAAGAAGAAAGAAGGAAGAAGAAAGAAGGAAGAAGGAAGAAGAAGGAAGGAAGAAGAGGAGGAGGAGGAGGAGGAGGAGGAGAAAAGAAGACUUCUUUUAAAAACAUACUCAGUGGGAUCCCUGGGUGGCGCAGCGGUUUGGCGCCUGCCUUUGGCCCAGGGCGCGAUCCUGGAGACCCGGGAUCGAGUCCCACGUUGGGCUCCCGGUGCAUGGAGCCUGCUUCUCCCUCUGCCUGUGUCUCUGCCUCUCUCUCUCUCUCUCUAUCAUAAAUAAAUAAAAAUUAAAAAAAAACAUACUCAGUUACAAAUUGCUACUGGAAUAAUAGUAGGCUGUCAGAACCAAGAAGCAGUGCAGCCUUUCUGGGUUAUGGGUUUUGAAAGGAUUUGUUGCAUGGAAACCACCCAUGAGGCUUGAACCUAGAACUGGGGUUCUCCGCGUGGCCCUCUCAGCCUCCCUUGGAAGAGCUCCCAACCACAGAGGGAGCUGAGGACACUGCCUGGGCCAGGGGCAAAGGCAGAACAGGUGCCAUUCUUCCUUUCUUUCUCCUGAAGCCAUUGUUUUAUAUGGCUUCUUAAGAUGAUGUCCUCUCCUCCCAAACACAACUUACAGCUUAUAUAAUGCUACGUGGGAGAUAAGCUUCAAGAGGCUAAUCAAGCCCAAGGAAAAAAGGCCCUUCAAAAAGAGUUGAACUCUCCGUAGUUCAAAGUCUAACUCUGCUAUUCACUGUUGCAUGGUCUGUCAAAUCUCUAGGCCUCAGAUUUCUCGUACAAAAAAUGGGGAUUACCACUAGGUCUUAAACCAUCAGGUCAUCAUGAGGAAGUAUGGAAAAUAAUCCAAGUAAAAUGCUUAGCACAGUUUCUGGCACAUAAUGUUCAUUCAAUUAACUUAAUCUGUCUGGGUCUCAGUUUCCUAAGCUGUAAAAUGGACAUUAUUAUGGAUUGAAUGUUUGUGUCCCCCACCAAAAUCAUAGGCUGAAAUCCCAACUUUCAAUGUAAUAAUAUUAGGAGGUGGGGGGCCUUGGGGAUGUCAUUAGAUCAUGAGGGUGGAGCCAUCAUGUAUGGGAUUCAUGCCCGUCCCUUCUGCCAACUUAAUGAAACUGUGAUAAGAUUGGACAAAUGCUUAGUGCCAGACCUAGGAUUCCCCAGUUAAAGAUUCCAGAGUCCUCUAGUUGACCUGCAUUAGAAAGCACAUAAAAUGCCAUAUCUUUAAGAGAAAACGGGAGGAGGGGGUAUGAUCAUUUAAUAAAGACGAGUCUUGCUCUUUGUACA